Molecule: ribosomal RNA, 497 nt
Filed under: uncultured bacterium
Lineage: Bacteria
Description: partial 16S ribosomal RNA
Rfam family: Bacterial small subunit ribosomal RNA
Source: RNAcentral
GAUGAACGCUGGCGGCGUGCCUAACACAUGCAAGUCGAGCGGACGGACGCGGCUUUUGCGUGGCUGAUGUUAGGGGCGGGCGGGUGAGUCACACGAGUAUACCCUACCUAUAUGACUGAGAUCAUUUCGGGAAAGCGGAUAUAACACCGGAGAAGAUUUUGAACCGCGGGGUUCAUAGGAGAGUGACGGCCUUUCUGGCACUAAUAGAGGGUUCCGGGCUGCUUGGGCUAGUUGGUAAGGUAACGGCUUACCAAGGCGACUAUGCGUGUCCGAACUGAGAGGCGGAUAGGCCACACUGGAACUGAGCCACGGUCCAGACUACUACGGGAGGCAGCAGUAGGGUAUGUUCGGCAAUGGGCGAAAGCCUGACACAGUGAGGGCGCGCGUGUGACGACGGUCCUCGGAUCGUAAAGCUCGCUUACUGGGGAUGAACAGCUGUGUCCUGAGACGUAGCGUUAUUGACGGUACCGAAUAAAAAAGCACCGGCUAACUACGUG